This 135-nucleotide small nucleolar RNA is filed under the name Salvator merianae (Argentine black and white tegu). The record is from RNAcentral. Lineage: Eukaryota; Metazoa; Chordata; Lepidosauria; Squamata; Teiidae.
GUGGCUGCAGUGAAUAUUGGUUGCACUUGUUAGCAAUACAGUGCAGCUCCAGGUAGCCACAUAUAGUAACAAAAUGGUUCCUGCCGACAGCAUCUGUCAAGUUAUCAGAUUUCCUGUGCGAUGGUUCCAGACAUC